AUUGAACGCUGGCGGCAUGCUUUACACAUGCAAGUCGAACGGUAACAGGCCGCAAGGUGCUGACGAGUGGCGAACGGGUGAGUAAUGCAUCGGAACGUGCCCAGUCGUGGGGGAUAACGCAGCGAAAGCUGUGCUAAUACCGCAUACGAUCUAUGGAUGAAAGCGGGGGACCGUAAGGCCUCGCGCGAUUGGAGCGGCCGAUGUCAGAUUAGGUAGUUGGUGGGGUAAAGGCUCACCAAGCCAACGAUCUGUAGCUGGUCUGAGAGGACGACCAGCCACACUGGGACUGAGACACGGUCCAGACUCCUACGGGAGGCAGCAGUGGGGAAUUUUGGACAAUGGGCGCAAGCCUGAUCCAGCAAUGACGCGUGCAGGAAGAAGGCCUUCGGGUUGUAAACUGCUUUUGUACGGAACGAAAAGGUUUGGGUUAAUACCCUGGGCCGAUGACGGUACCGUAAGAAUAAGCACCGGCUAACUACGUGCCAGCCGCCGCAGUAA
This 498-nucleotide ribosomal RNA is filed under the name uncultured bacterium. RNAcentral's name for it is "partial 16S ribosomal RNA". It matches the Rfam family "Bacterial small subunit ribosomal RNA", at positions 30 to 523 of the family's 1533-position model. The record is from RNAcentral.